RNAcentral lists this ribosomal RNA (237 nucleotides) under uncultured bacterium. Its description in RNAcentral is "partial 16S ribosomal RNA". It matches the Rfam family "Bacterial small subunit ribosomal RNA", at positions 96 to 334 of the family's 1533-position model. The record is from RNAcentral.
CGGCGGACGGGUGAGUAACGCGUGGGUAACCUGCCUCAUACAGGGGGAUAACAGUUAGAAAUGACUGCUAAUACCGCAUAAGACCACAGCACCGCAUGGUGCGGGGUAAAAACUCCGGUGGUAUGAGAUGGACCCGCGUUGGAUUAGCUAGUUGGUGGGGUAACGGCCCACCAAGGCGACGAUCCAUAGCCGGCCUGAGAGGGUGAACGGCCACAUUGGGACUGAGACACGGCCCAG